GACUUAGGCCUCUCCGGGCCUGGGCAUAUCAGCAAGCUGAGCUCAUCAUCAUUCUGACUUCCUGACUAUGCCGUCUGGGAAGUUGCCCUCUCCCGUGCCUCCCAAGACAACCUAGAAAAGAUAAAAACCUAAAAGCAGGAAGUCCGAAGCCAUUGCUCAGUUCUCCCUGCUUGCAGCAAGGUGCCAGCCUGAACCACAGAGCCAAGCCUCCAGGCAGCUGCAAUGAACUGGAGAGGUGCUGGCCCCACUUGGCCUUCCUGGGAAAGCGAUGUGUGACGGCAGUCUCCCAGCUGAGCCUGCCUGCCGCACAGCCCAGAACCUGGACUUGAAUCCCAGUUUGCACCGCAUUCUAGCUGUGGGAUUUGGGGCACGUUACUCGGCCUCUCAGAGCACACAAGCUUCACGGGAGCCGCUCCUCAGCCUCUUGCUGUAGAAGCCAUAGUCAGCAAGCCACUCGACCAGAAGAGUUCAGAAGAGGUGUUGGAGCUGGUGGGGACGGGGUGAGCCAGACCUGUGGACCCACCCUCCAGCACGCAGCCUUUGAGGCAGAGGUCAGCUUCCCUCUCCACCGGGUC
Non-coding RNA from Peromyscus maniculatus bairdii (prairie deer mouse), 575 nucleotides. NCBI's taxonomy places the organism in Eukaryota, Metazoa, Chordata, Mammalia, Rodentia, Cricetidae. The record is from RefSeq and is a predicted model, not a curated record.